GUUUAAUAAGUAGAGGUCGCAAGAACCACUCCCUCUACUCUCUCAAUUCCUCACUUCUUUCUUUAUCUUUUCUAUAGGGUUUUCAUUUUUCUAGCUAUGGCCUCUGCUGAGAUUUAGUCUCGUUGCUUUGUCGGAGGGAUCCCUGCGCCACCGACAACGAUGCGCUCGAAAGGGCCUUCGCUCCUUUUGGUGAGAUCAUUGAAUCGAAGAUCAUAUGACCAUGAGACCGGAAGGUAAGGGGUUUUGGAUUCGUCACAUUCAGCAACAUAAAGGUAGCAGCCGGGGAGGCGGUGGUUACGGUGGCCGUCGUGAGGGUAGAGGCGGUGAUACAGCCGUGGUGGUGGUAUAGCUAUGGAAGCGGUGGUGGCCGGGAUUGUAAAUAUGGAAAUUAUGACUAAAAGAUAGAUUUGACU
RNAcentral lists this long non-coding RNA (413 nucleotides) under Rosa chinensis. RNAcentral's name for it is "sRNA RchiOBHm_Chr7g0236791". The record is from RNAcentral. Lineage: Eukaryota; Viridiplantae; Streptophyta; Magnoliopsida; Rosales; Rosaceae.